UAGUCUAGUACGUGACUAACUUUGAUAAGCUUCAAUUAAGGCCUUAAUUGGGUGUGACGGAGUCAAUUCUGUGGUGGCAAACUGGCUUGGGCUUCAGAAACCUGUCUAUUCUGGGCGCUCUGCAAUUAGAGGCUUUGUUGAGUAUCCGGAAAAACAUGGUUAUCAGCCUAAGUUCCACGCGUAUUUUGGAGGUGGAGUUCGGUUUGGAUUUCUUCCUAGUGAUGAGAAGAGUUUGUACUGGUUUUGCACAUUCACACCAUCUGUUGUUCAUUGUAAGCCACCUCCUACAUACUGUUUCUUUUGAAGAUUUACUUUUUGAAGGAUAUUUUUGUUGGCUAGAGAGCUUACCUCUAUGAAGGGGGAGCCUUGACGUAAUUGGUAAAGUUACUGUCAUGUGACCUAGAGGUCGCGGAUUCGAGCUGUGGAAACAGCCUCUUGCAGAAAUGCAGGGUAAGACUGCGUACAAUAGACCCCUGUGGUCCAAGCCUUCCCCAAACCCUGUGCAUAGCGGGAGCUUAGUGCACCGAGCUGCCCAGAUAGCUUACAUUUCAUAAACUAGUCAUGUUUAGUUGUUCAUUUUAAUUGGGAUUUUAUGCAGUUGAUGGAAAUGCAGAACAAGAUCCAAUGAAAUUGAAGCAAUUCGUGUUGAACAAGGCUAGUAAUGUGUCUAAAGAACUCUCCACCAUUAUAGACAGAACUACGCUCGACUGUAUAUCUAUCGCUCAGCUGAAAUUGAGGUUGCCAUGGAAUGUUCUGCUUGGGAAUAUUUUGAAAAAUAACGUUUGCGUGGUAGGUGAUGCACUUCAUCCCAUGACUCCUGAUCUUGGUCAAGGUGGAUGUUCUGCUUUAGAGGACAGCGUUGUUAUUGCAAAGUGCCUCGGAGAAGCCUUGAUAAAACCGAUAACAGAACAAGAAGACGAUGAAUCUACGAAGAUUAGAAAAGGACUUGAGAAGUAUGCUAAAGAGAGGAGAUGGAGAAGUUUUACAUUUAUCAGUGCUGCUUAUUUAUCUGGUUUCAUACAAGAGAGUGAUAACAAGAUAAUCAGUUUCUUAAGACAACAUUUUUUGGCUGGAGUUACUAUAUCAGUUACACUAAGAAUAGCUAACUUCGACUGCGGAAGAUUAACUGUUUCUUAGUAGCUCAAUUGGAUCUUUUAGAAGCUAUGAAUACCCUUUAUGGACUUUGUUUAGUAUCUAUCUAGCAUACAUGUUCUGGUUUAGCUGUGUUUAAGAAUUGUAAUACCGAAACGGAUCCUUAUUUUGCAAUAAUAAAAUACAAGUUGUGAGCAACCAAUUGUGUCCUUCAUCAAAGAUAUCCAACAACAUCAGUUGUUUAGAAGUAUUGAACAAGUGUUUUCUUAUCUGAGAUCAUUUCGUGCAAUUAGAUACUACUCCCUAUGUUUCAACGACUUGAUACGAAGUUUAACAAAGUAAAUAAGACUUUUGUACCAUGGACCGCUACUUGGUUCAAUGACUUCCAAUUUCCACAAGGGAUCAUUGUUUUGUUACAUACUCUUGAGUAGAUGUAGGAGGAAAUGCAGGAGUCAAAUCAUGUCUUUAAUUGUUUUUUUUUGUUUUUUUUUGGAUUUCUCACUUGACUUGUCAGGCAAUAGUAUCUCUCAUUGGAAAUUUGUUACAAGUUCUGCAGCAAAAUUUUCUACCGUUUGUCUUACAUAAUGGGAUCAAUUCACAUUGUCUUAGGUGACACACACGGCAGAGAUAGUCGAUGACCUCGAAAUGAAAAUAACAUUUAGAUGGGGUACAAGCACCCCCAUUCUUUUGUUUGUUUUUUCUCUCUAUUAGACUACUUUACUUUGAUUUUAUAUCAAUUUAUGAAUGUCGUAAGUAUGUAUUUUUAAUUGAAAUUUGCUAGUAACUAAACCUUAAAAUUUAUAGUUAUUAGCGUGAAAGGAAUUAAAUUUAACAUUAAAAUACGACCCUCAAUUGAUGUUUCUGGUCAUAGUACUGUUAAAAAAUUACUUAUGAUUGUUACAUUUUAUUAUUCAUUAUAGGCUUAUUUUCACAGAAAUUACACAAGUGUAACUCAUAAACUAGUAUAUAUAUAUAUAUAUAUAUUACUAAAAGUGGGAAGAAUCUAAAGCAAAAAUUAGAUUGCGAAAAUACCCUUAAGUAUUAAUUUAUUUUCUUAAAAAUCUAUUUUUAAAAAUAGUCUUUUUAUUUAUUUAUUUUUAAUAUUUUAUAAAAAAUGAAUGUGUCAAUUACUACUCAUUUAUAUAUUUAUAUUCUGUAAUAUAAACAUUUAUUUGCCUUUAUUUCAAUUAUUCACAUGAAUUUUGAUUAUUAUAACUCCUAUAUUAUAUUAAUAGUCAUGUUCAUAAUAUCAUUUGAUAUUCCAUAUUAUUGUCCUAUAAAUAGAGAUAUUAUAAAGGUGCAAGUAUUACACAAUUUAGUUUGACUUUGCUACUUCUCCACCAUUGGUUAUGAGGGUGACACAUAUUCCCAACUUGUGAAUCAUUUAUGUCUUGAAAUAUGUACCAUUCAAUUGCUCAUUUGAAUUUGAACAAAUAAUUUUAUAAAACAGAGUAACUUUAGCUAAAUAAUUAUAAUGGAUAAAUGAAUAGAGUGUUUGAUAAAUAUGAUAGUAUUUAUGCGUUGCACGUUUAUUUCUAUUUUUUAUUAUAAAGUUUGUAAAAUAAAAUAGUAAAUAAAAAAAAAAGCACUUAAAAAGCUACACAACUUGUAAAAUUUAUGGUCACCAAAGCAAGAAUUAUUAUCAACCAUACAAAGACUCAAAUUUUAAAAUUUAAAGUCUUAUCGUGUAUAAUAAUUUUUUAUUUGUAGUUAUUUAUUUGUUGAAUAGGAAUUAUACUAGAUGCAUAUUAUAAUUGUACAUAUAACCACAUAUUUAUUAUCUCAUUACACAUAAUACCUAUUAAGCUAAAUUUAAUUGUUUAAUUUUGCAAGUUUAGAGUACAUUCUCUAAUAUUUUGUAUGUAUUGAACAAUCAAGUCAUUUGUGUAGACUAAUUAUUUAUCAAAUUGAACUUGUACUUCUUUCUUCUGAUUUAUAUACUCAUUAUACACAUGUUUUAAUAUUGCCUUAUAAUUUCAAAAAAAAAUCUAUACAAAUUGGGACACACGUGCUCAAAAACUAGUUCUAAAAAACAAGCUAAAAGAAAGACGUAUCUACAUUUGAAGUUCGAUUUUCGCCUAUUUUAUAUUCCGACAUAUUCAUUCACUUUGACUUAAAGGGCGUGUUUUGCGUGGUAGGUGAUGCACUUCAUCCCAUGACUCCUGAUCUUGGUCAAGGUGGAUGUUCUGCUUUAGAGGACAGUGUUGUCAUCGCAAAGUGCCUCGGAGAAGCCUUGAUAAAACCGAUAACAGAACAAGAAGACGAUGAAUCUACGAAGAUUAGAAAAGGACUUGAGAAGUAUGCUAAAGAGAGGAGAUGGAGAAGUUUUACAUUUAUCAGUGCUGCUUAUUUAUCUGGUUUCAUACAAGAGAGUGAUAACAAGAUAAUCAGUUUCUUAAGACAACAUUUUUUGGCUGGAGUUACUAUAUCAGUUACACUAAGAAUAGCUAACUUCGACUGCGGAAGAUUAACUGUUUCUUAGUAGCUCAAUUGGAUCUUUUAGAAGCUAUGAAUACCCUUUAUGGACUUUGUUUAGUAUCUAUCUAGCAUACAUGUUCUGGUUUAGCUGUGUUUAAGAAUUGUAAUACCGAAACGGAUCCUUAUUUUGCAAUAAUAAAAUACAAGUUGUGAGCAACCAAUUGUGUCCUUCAUCAAAGAUAUCCAACAACAUCAGUUGUUUAGAAGUAUUGAACAAGUGUUUUCUUAUCUGAGAUCAUUUCGUGCAAUUAGAUACUACUCCCUAUGUUUCAACGACUUGAUACGAAGUUUAACAAAGUAAAUAAGACUUUUGUACCAUGGACCGCUACUUGGUUCAAUGACUUCCAAUUUCCACAAGGGAUCAUUGUUUUGUUACAUACUCUUGAGUAGAUGUAGGAGGAAAUGCAGGAGUCAAAUCAUGUCUUUAAUUGUUUUUUUUUGUUUUUUUUUGGAUUUCUCACUUGACUUGUCAGGCAAUAGUAUCUCUCAUUGGAAAUUUGUUACAAGUUCUGCAGCAAAAUUUUCUACCGUUUGUCUUACAUAAUGGGAUCAAUUCACAUUGUCUUAGGUGACACACACGGCAGAGAUAGUCGAUGACCUCGAAAUGAAAAUAACAUUUAGAUGGGGUACAAGCACCCCCAUUCUUUUGUUUGUUUUUUCUCUCUAUUAGACUACUUUACUUUGAUUUUAUAUCAAUUUAUGAAUGUCGUAAGUAUGUAUUUUUAAUUGAAAUUUGCUAGUAACUAAACCUUAAAAUUUAUAGUUAUUAGCGUGAAAGGAAUUAAAUUUAACAUUAAAAUACGACCCUCAAUUGAUGUUUCUGGUCAUAGUACUGUUAAAAAAUUACUUAUGAUUGUUACAUUUUAUUAUUCAUUAUAGGCUUAUUUUCACAGAAAUUACACAAGUGUAACUCAUAAACUAGUAUAUAUAUAUAUAUAUAUAUUACUAAAAGUGGGAAGAAUCUAAAGCAAAAAUUAGAUUGCGAAAAUACCCUUAAGUAUUAAUUUAUUUUCUUAAAAUCAUUUUUAAAAAUAGCUUUUUAUUUAUUUAUUUUUAAUAUUUUAUAAAAAAUGAAUGUGUCAAUUACUACUCAUUUAUUUAUUUAUAUUCUGUAAUAUAAACAUUUAUUUGCCUUUAUUUCAAUUAUUCACAUGAAUUUUGAUUAUUAUAACUCCUAUAUUAUAUUAAUAGUCAUGUUCAUAAUAUCAUUUGAUAUUCCAUAUUAUUGUCCUAUAAAUAGAGAUAUUAUAAAGGUGCAAGUAUUACACAAUUUAGUUUGACUUUGCUACUUCUCCACCAUUGGUUAUGAGGGUGACACAUAUUCCCAACUUGUGAAUCAUUUAUGUCUUGAAAUAUGUACCAUUCAAUUGCUCAUUUGAAUUUGAACAAAUAAUUUUAUAAAACAGAGUAACUUUAGCUAAAUAAUUAUAAUGGAUAAAUGAAUAUAGUGUUUGAUAAAUAUGAUAGUAUUUAUGCGUUGCAUGUUUAUUUUCUAUUUUUUAUUAUAAAGUUCGUAAAAUAAAAUAGUAAAUAAAAAAAAAGGCACUUAAAAAGCUACACAACUUGUAAAAUUUAUGGUCACCAAAGCAAGAAUUAUUAUCAACCAUACAAAGACUCAAAUUUUAAAAUUUGAAGUCUUAUCGUGUAUAAUAAUUUUUGAUUUGUAGUUAUUUAUUUGUUGAAUAAGAAUUAUACUAGAUGCAUAUUAUAAUUGUACAUAUAACCACAUAUUUAGUAUCUCAUUACACAUAAUACCUAUUAAGCUAAAUUUAAUUGUUCAAUUUUGCAAGUUUAGAGUACAUUCUCUAAUAUUUUGUAUGUAUUGAACAAUCAAGUCAUUUGUGUAGACUAAUUAUUUAUCAAAUUGAACUUGUACUUCUUUCUUCUGAUUUAUAUACUCAUUAUACACGUGUUUUAAUAUUGCCUUAUAAUUUCAAAAAAAAUCUAUACAAAUUGGGAUACACGUGCCCAAAAACUAGUAUAUGGAUAAUGAUGAUUGAUUUGUAAGAACAGAACAUUUUGUUAUUUGCUGAAUACAAAAAAAGAUGUGGCUUGUUAACUGGUCAUGUUAUCGGAUUGGACCUUAGUUGCAGUCGGCUUGGUGGAACUAUUCAUCCCAAUAGCAGCCUCUUCCAACUCCAUCAUCUCCGGACACUAAAUCUUGCUCACAAUGACUUCAAUUUUUCUUCAAUCCCACAUAACAUUGGCCGAUUGACGAAUUUGAGACAUCUCAACCUUUCUGGUUCUUUGUUUGAAGGGGAAAUCCCAACAGAAAUCUCAUACCUUUCCAAUUUGGUUUCACUUGAUAUGAGUAACAAGUUGUUAGAAGUGACUAGUACUCAUCCAUGGACCGCUAGUUGUGUAUUUAGUGAUGCCAAAGUUGUAUUAUUUUCUCUCAAUUUAUGCCAAAGUUGGAAAUAGACUUAUGAGGGGGAAAGUACCCCAUUUUAUUUGUCUAGAUAUCUUUUCUUUCUUUAAUUUAAACCACACACUUCCAUAUACCCAGUGUAAUUCCUUAAGUCAGGGUUUAAGAAAGGUAGAGUGUACGGAGACCUUAUCUCUAUGAGGUAGAGAUAGAGAGGUUGCUUUCGAGAAUAAAAUACAAGUUGUGAGCAACCAAUUAUGUCCGUCAUCAAAACUACCCAACAACAUCAGUUGUUUAGAAGCAAAUAUGGUAAUUGGUAACAGCUUAAAGGUAAAUCUGAAGUAUUUUUUAAGUGUUGGCUUAUCUGAGAAUUAGAUGCUACUCCCUCCGUUUCAAUAUGUCUGAAUGGUUUUGACUUGACAUGGAGUUUAAAAAAGUAAAAAAAUAAUUGUAUCUUGUGGUCUCAAAUUAAAAUACGUAGAAUGUACCAUGAACCACUAAUUGGUUCAAUGACUUCAAAAUUCCACUGUAACAUUGUCUUGUUAAAUCAUGUCUUCAAUUAUUGUUCUUUUUAUUUUUCUCACUUGACUUAGUUAAGCAAUAGUAUCUCUCAUUGGAAAUUUGCUGCAAUUCACAUUGUUUUGCGUAACACACACGGCAAAUAUAGUGGAUGACCUUGAAAUGAAAACAACAUUUAGAGAAAACAAAUUUGGAAUAAUUGGUACUGGCCACCAAGAAUUAAAGACUCGAGUCUUUAUGGAAAUUGACUUAAAUUUGGGACAAAUUUUUUUGCAACCACAAAUUAGUUUGUGGUAGAUGAGGGGCAAGUACCCCAUUUUAUUUGUCUGGAUGUUUUACCUCACAGUCCCAUAGACAAGUCAACAACAACAAUAACAUAUUCAGUGUAAUCUCACAAGUGGGGUCUAGAGAAAAGUAGAGUGUGCGUGAGAGGUUGCUUUCAAUAGACCCUUGGCUAAAAAUAAAGCAUGGCCAAGCAUUUUGAAAAAGGGAAUACAAAAGUAAAAGUAAUAACAACAAUAAAAUAAUAUGAAAAGAAGAGUAGUACAACAUACAGAUGAAUGAAUAAUAUGACAAUAAAAUAAAGCGAUAUUCGAAGCACAAAAUACACAGGUGAUACUCGGGAAAAAAAAACUACGAUCGAAUAUAACACAUGAUAGACAAGUCAACAACAAUAAUUGCAUAUUCAAUAUAAUUUCACAAGUGGGGUCUAGAGAGAGUAGAAUUUGUGCAGAAAUUACAGGAGCGUAACUCAGAAACUAGUAUAUAUAUAUGGAUAAUGAUGAUUGGUUUGUAAAAACAUAACAUUCUAUUAUUUGCUGAAUACAAAAAAAAAAAAAAAAAGAGAAAAAAGAUGGGACUUGUCUUUUUCUUUUAUUCACUAGUCUGUUUUUUGUCGGUAAUUAGUGAAAGUUUUUCUUCUUCCUCUGUGAUGAUGCAUCAUGUUUGCUCUCCCACUGAAGCUUUUGCUUUGCUUCACUUCAAACAAUCCUCUCAAAUCUCUGACCAACCUAGAUGUUGGGAUGAGACUGAUCUGCAAUAUGAGAGAUAUUUUGAUAUCCCAAAAACAAAGUCUUGGAAUGAGAGUAGGGAUUGCUGCAGUUGGGACGGGGUAACUUGUGACAUGUUAACCGGUCAUGUUAUCGGAUUGGACCUUAGUUGCAGUCUGCUUUUGGGUACUAUUCAUCCCAAUAGCAGCCUCUUCCAACUCCAUCAUCUCCGGACACUAAACCUUGCUUACAAUAACUUCUAUUCUUCUUCAAUCCCGCAUAACAUUGGCCGAUUGAGGAAUUUGAGGUAUCUCAACCUUUCUCAAUCUUUCUUUGAAGGGGAAAUCCCAACAGAAAUAUCAUACCUUUCCAAUUUGGUUUCACUUGAACUUUUUUGUUACGGAUGUGAACUUGAUGAGAGAACAUUUGAAACAAUUCUUCACAACUUCACAAAUCUGGAGGUAGUUUCUCUCCUUGGUGUCAACAUCUCAUCUUCAAUACCUGUGAAUAUUUCUUCAUCCUCCUUACGGUACGUGGAUCUUGGACAUACUAAUCUGCGAGGUGUUAUCACAGAGAGCUUUUUCCUUCUGCCAGAAUUGGAAAAUCUCAAAUUGAAUGGAAAUGAUCUUCUCAAAGGAGUUUUACCAAAGAUCCACCCGAGCAACACUCUGUUGGAGUUGGAUAUUUCCUACACAGGAAUCUCCGGUGAGCUGCCUGAUUCAAUUGGCACCUUGAGUUCAUUGAAUCUCUUGAACAUGUAUAGAUGCCAAUUCUCUGGUUCCAUUCCUGAAUCCAUUGGCAAUCUUACACAAAUGCGGAAAUUGAAUUUUGGAAAUAAUCAUUUCACCGGCCAUAUUCCUUCCACAAUCUCUAAAUUGAAGCACCUCACAUUUCUAGGUCUUUCGUCCAACUCCUUUUCAGGUGAAGUUCCCGACAUUUUUUCUAACCUCCAAGAGCUACGUACUUUAUAUCUUCGUAACAACAGCUUCGUUGGUUCGUUUCCUUCUACAAUUGUAAGCUUGACACAUCUUCAAGACUUAGAAUUGUCGAGUAAUUCCCUAUCUGGCCAACUGCCUAUUAAUGUGAGCAUGCUUCAAAAGCUAACCAUAUUGGAUCUGUCGUACAACUCACUGAAUGGUACCAUACCAUCUUCGGUGUUUGGCCUCCCUUUGCUAUCUUCAUUAUUGCUCCAACAUAAUCAAUUUAGUGGACUAGAUGAUGAGCUCAAAACAAACCCAACAUUAGCACACCUGGGUUUAAGCCAUAAUCAACUCAGUGGUUCUUUGCUUCAAUCACUUUCGAAUCUCACAAACCUUUCUAUGCUUGACCUUUCAUCAAGUAACAUCACCGUUCAUGUGGGAAAACAAAUCACUUUUCCUGGCCUAGAAGUUUUGCGGUUAUCAUCUUGUGAACUAAAGGAUUUUCCACACUUCUUGAGAAAUGUGAAGACACUUUGGCUCUUGGAUAUUUCUAACAAUAAGAUUCGUGGCCAAAUCCCAAAACUGGUUUAGCGGCAUAAGGUGGGACAACUUGUGGUACCUAAACCUUUCGCAUAAUUCUUUAACAGGCCACCUACAACAAUUUCAUUUCCAUAAUCUAGAGUAUCUUGAUCUUAAAUUUAACUUCCUUCAGGGUCCACUACCUUCAUCCAUUUGUAUCAUGAACAAUUUUCAAUUUCUAGAUUUAUCACACAACAACUUCAGUAACUCGAUUCCAAGUUGCUUGGGAAGCAUGACUAGUCUAACAGUGUUGGACUUAAGAAAGAACAAUUUCACAGGGAGUCUUCCAUCGUUAUGUGCGCAGAGCACUUCAUUGAGAACCAUUGUCUUGAAUGGUAAUCAAUUUAAAGGAACUCUCCCUGUGUCGUUGCUCAACUGUAGUGGUUUAGAAGUUCUUGAUAUGGGGAAUAACGCUAUAAAUGACACAUUUCCUGCUUGGCUAGGAACACUUCAACAACUGCAGGUCUUAAUAUUAAAGUCCAAUGUGUUCCAUGGACCAAUUAGUACUUGUCAGACUACGUUUUGCUUUCCCAAGUUGCGAAUUUUUGAUCUUUCGCGUAACAAAUUCAGUGGCUCACUCCCUGCAAAAAGUUUUUGCAAACUUCAAGGCAAUGAUUAAAUUAGAUGGUGAAGACACAGGAUAGAUCAAGUACAUGAAACCAUCUGAUGAUCCAUUUGACACAUCGUAUGAGGAUUCAGUGAGUUUGGUGAUCAAAGGCCUGGAUAUUGAGCUAGAAAGAAUCAGCACAAUUAUGACAACCAUAGACCUCUCGAGCAACCAUUUUGAAGGUGUCAUUCCGAAAACACUAAAGGAUCUCAGCUCACUUUGGCUACUCAAUUUAUCCCGUAACAAUCUCAUAGGUGAUAUUCCAAUGGAAUUGGGGCAAUUGAAUAAGCUUGAAGCGUUAGAUCUCUCUUGGAACCGGCUCACUGGAAAGAUUCCGCAGGAAUUGACAAGGCUAACAUUUCUGGAAAAGUUAAACCUUUCUCAGAAUGUUCUCGUUGGACCAAUUCCUCACGUUCUACAAUUCAACACAUUUGAAAAUGACUCGUAUGGCGGUAACCUUGAUCUAUGUGGUCCUCCUUUAUCAGAGCAAUGUGGAACGAGUGAUCUAUCCCAUGUUCCUCAACCAUUGGAGUCUGAAGACGAAUCAUAUUUUUUUAGUGGAUUUACGUGGGAAUCAGUAGUCAUAGGCUACAGUUGUGGACUAGUUGUUGGAACUGUUGUGUGGAGCCUCAUGUUUAAAUAUCGUAAGCCAGAAUGGUUUGUCGAAUUUUUUGAAGGCAUUUAUCCCAAGAAAAUGAGAAUGUCAAUGAAGAGAGCUCAGAGACGACGGACUUGAUGGAAGAUUGCAAGAGUGGACUUCUCUGUUUUUUAAUUUUCUUUUUGUUGUUUGUAUAUGUUUGAUAGCAAUAUAAUUGCAUGUGUUAUUUUGUGAAUUUCCACUGGAUUAAAAUUAGUGUUCUUGAUCUUUGCUUUCAAACUAAAAAAUUAAACUCAAAAUAAAAACAAGAGGACAUAAAACAUAACUUUCCUUUUUUACUAAAACAAUUUAUUCAAUUACUCUUGAGUUUAAUCAACUUCAACAUGUUUGGUAAUAUCAUCUCAAAUUAAUAAUACUAAAAAUGAUGGAUUUAAGAUCAUUCAAAUCCACAUAUAAAUUGAUUAUUGUAUAAUGGCAAUCCUCAUGCCUUCACUUAAUUGAAAGAAUGAGCCAAAGCUGUCAUGACAUGAGCUUGGUCUGAAAUAAUUUGUGUAGUUGAAGGAUUUUGUCCCAAAACAAUACAAUAACCAUCAUCAUAAUUCUCCAUUCCAUGUGCCAUUAGUUGCCAUACUAAACUUCCUCCCAUUGUUCCACCUUCUUUUGCCAAAUUAUACACAUUUCUAUAUACACUACUCAUAAAUAUAUCUCUUGAUCCUUGACCUCUACUAGACUUUCCAAAUUCAGCAAGCACUAAAGGUUUCUUUAAUAUAUUUCUUGCAUCUUCCCAAUGACUUGUUAUCCACUUUUCCAUCCACACCAAUUGUGCUUCAUCACUUUGUCCAGAUACCCUAUAACGAUCGAUAUAAAGAAAUAUUUAGACCUAUAUAAUGAAAACAUAUGAAAUUGUAUGUAGGGAAAAGAUGUAAAAACUACCAUUGGUCAGUGUAUGCAUGGAUAGUAGCAAAAUCAAUUUCAUUGAUAAGAUGGUUACUAAUGAUUUGAUAUUUCUAAAAUUCAAUUAAUUAAACUUGAAUUGGGGAUUACAUUAACAGUUUUUCCUGAAUAGUCAGCUUGAUCGCGAGGCUCAUUCAUGAGUUCCCAUUCCAUAAUUGUUGGAUCAUCUUUGUAAGCAACUUUAUUAAUACUAUUCAACCUUGUAACCACUUUCUGUAACAAUUUCGUAAUAUUAUUAAUUAAAAAAGUUGUUUAUAUGUAUUAAAUAAUAAUUACCCCAUAUAUACCUCAAUGUGGUUCUUCAAGUAUUUUUUGAGCAUAGGAUGAGUAUAGAAUUCAUCGUCAUUACUAAUUUGAGCUCCUGCAUUUCGCGCCCACCAAACAUAUUGAGCUUUUCCUCCAAAAAUCGUUUCAUUGAUUUACAAAGCUCAAGAUUAAACGAACACCAUAUUUCUUAGCUUCCGCGAUCACAAAAUCCAAGCCCUAAAUUUAGAAACAAUUAAAAUAAGUACUAUCUAAUUAAGAGACUCAUCACAUGCAUUACAAUGCAAUAAUGUAAAAGAUAUCAAAAUUAUAAUAAUAAACCUUUACCUGAAAAACACGUUCAUCAUAAACGCCAGGUGAUAUUUGUAAUGCUCUAUCACCUCCAUCACUAAAAGCCCAAGUACGACAAACAGAAAGACCAGAGGUAGAAGCAUCUUUAAGAACCUCAGUGCCUUUGUAUCUCUCAGUAGGGUCAGCAGCAACAUGCAUCAACCAAUAUGAGUUGAAACCAUUGAAUAGAAAAGGGGAUCCAUUGAGUUCAAAAUGAGAAUCCUUAACUCCUAUAAACCCGGAAUUUGCUUCACAAGCAAGAGCUAAGAACAAGAGAAAGAGCCCAGAAAUGCAACUUCUUUUUGUAUAAGACAUUUUGUUUAGUGAAUUAUAGAAGAUAUAUGUGUGCUAUGUUAGAUGACACCUUUUAUAGUGUGUUGAAGAUAAGGAAAUUUACUAAAAUUAAAUUAGCAAAACUUACAAAAACUAAAAAAAAUUCCUAGUGGAUAUAAUUGGAUAUUGAGAUUUGAUGAAUUUUUUUAAAAAAAUUAGUUAUUUGGUUAAGAUAGAAACAAAGUUCUGUUGAAAAAAUUGUAUGGGGAGAAAAGAAGAAGAAAAAUAUGGAAACAUUAAUUGGUUUGUUUUUUUUAAGGUUUGUUCACUAUUAGAUUUGAUGAUGAAAUAAUAUUGAAACGUGUACUCAUUGUAUUUUUUAUAGUAAUAUACUUGAAUAUUUCUAUGUGGAUGUGUUAUGUGUGUAUUUUAAUCUUAUUUUAUUGCAAGAAAUUGAGCCAAAAUAAAAAUAAAAAUACUUUUAAAAAAAGUUUAAAAGAGAAAUAAAGAGGGCAUAACAUUAUUUGGGAAUAAAAUAAUUUUUUUGGAAGAUAUAUUCUUAAAAAAAAGGUGAGUUUCUUAUUUAUUUUUUUGGUAUGAAUAAGUGAAUUUCUUACUUAUUUUCUGGUAACAUAUUUGGGAUCUUUGAUGUUUAGUUUAUGCUAAUUUGACAAAUUUCAUAGUCCAUAUGUCCCAAGUAUCAUUUUGGAUGAAGUCGUCAAAGACGACUUUAAACUUAGAAUAGGCAAAUUUAAAAUAAGUGUGAUCUUAUUAUACGUGGAGGCGGAUGCAAUGGUUUAAUUAUGAGUUCAAUCGAACUCAAUAUUUUUGUCACAUAACAUAUAUGUAAUGUAGAAGUCAAAAACACAAAAAUAAAAAGAGAUUCUAUAUUCAUAAUUAAAAAAAGUACAAUUAGUUCAGUUUAAAUUCUAAAUUCGACUCAAACUAUAUGUAUAUAGAGUUGUAAGUUGAAAACAAUAGGUUCACUUCUACUCAGAACUCGCCCUGAAUCCGCCUCUGGAAGUAACCACCUAUUCCACGGCUAUGGAGGAAAAAUUGAAAAGAUCGUCCCCAAAAUGCUAUUAUAUACCAAUAUAAAGUAUGAUUUGACGUAUACAGUGUAAUUUUUCGACGAAGAGUGUUCAGAGAAACCACAGAACACCGUAGCUCCGCCCAUGAUCCCUGUAAGCAACCACCUAUCCGGUCGUUAACAUAUUAACCUAAAAAAAAUAUAACCUGAAGUUACAAUUGAUAUUAUUCUAUUUUGUCAACUGGAUUUUAGCGUUAUUGUUGUUUCUCGAUCUAUAUUACUGUUUACUACUUUGUCAACCCUUUAGUUACAUUUUUGAAUUUCUUUUUCUAGCUGAAGUUAAAAUAUACUAUCAGUGUGGAGGGAAAUAGCAUUGAGAAGAUGCAUACAUACUUUUCUUUAGCAACUUGAGUCAUUGCAAACAAUGCAAAAUCUCCGCAGAUGUUGCGGUUGCCAAAAAGUUAAAUAGGCGAUUUCGUUGUGGGAAUGUUGUUGAAAUUAUAUUUUCGGAUGUAAUCCACUGCAUAAAAAUAGGAGCCAGAACCCUUGAAGCCAUAGGGAAGCACUGUUAUGUCUCACUAGUUUGCAUCGAACAAUGCAUCCCCUUAAGGUUACUGACAAGCUAUCUCAAGUGGAUGAAGCUUUGUCAAUAGCCAAUAUAAUGACAAAUCUCAAGCAACUCGAGCCUCCCUAGAUGUUGGUUGGUAUAAAAAGAAAAUUGAGGUCGUUAAAAACUGCAGACAUCUUGAGCUACUAGAUGUAAGAGGUUGUUGGAAUGUGAACCUGAUGAAAAUUUAGUGAAGAAAUUCCAUCUUAUAGGUGGUUGAUGCAAUUGUCAUAGAUUGCUAUAAUAGGAAUAGCUGGGACAAUUGUUCUAACUAUUCAAGUUUUUUGUCUAUGUACAAUGGGAUUUUGUGGUUGGUGAAGCGGAUGACGACGAAUUUGAUGAGAUGUCCGAUGUGUAUUGGGGGGAUGAUCAAGAUAUGGAGGAUGUAAAAAUGUGGUGUAAUGAUGACUUAAAUGAUGUGGACUCUGGAUAUGAUUGGCUGCCAUCUCCUUGAGGUUUGCUUAUAAAAUUCUACUUAUUCAAUUUCCAGAAGUUUUGAAAUACUUCUCUUCUCUAUGUUAAAUGCCUAUGCUUCUCUAUGUUAUAUAUGAAAGUUUGUCCGCUCUCUACAAUACAAGGUAAAUGCGAGUUAUGUGUCUUGUGUACCUUUUUCCUCUUUCUUUGUUCUCUUUUAUUACUUUCUUAACUGUAUGUAUUCAUAUAACAAUAUUUUCAUGCUAUCUACAUGUUUGCUACAUUUGAGUCGAGGGUCUUUCAAAAAAUAGUCUUUCUUCCUCCACGAGGUAAUUGUAAGGCCUACAUACACUCUACCAUCCCCAUACCUCAGUUGUGGGAUUCCAAUGAGUAUGCUGUUGUUUCUUAGCUUGUGGUUCUUUGAGGAGUUCAUGCUUUCAUUUGAAUUUUCCAUCUGGUUGUUUGUUUCUCCUUUUUAACUCUACUGCUGAUUUUUUAAACUAAAGUUAUUCUACUCCAUCUUGUGGUUUCCAGAUUUUCUGUUCUUUUUGUUUUUGUUUGAGCUUCUUCUUAAUCUGCUUCGUCAGCUUUCUAAAUUCAUGUAUGAGCUAGUAAAAGAAACAAAGUCUAGCAGAAGAAAGUUAUGACGCCAUAUCUAAAUAGCUUGAGUCAUGGAAAAGUGUCCCAUGACAGUUUUGUUGAGUUCAUGUGGUAGUUCUAGUUUAAUUUUAAAUUCUUAGAGUCAAAGUUCUAUUGUUGUGCUACUUAAUUAUGUUGUCUUAAUUAAUGUUUUGUUUUCCUAUGAUUUUUCAUUCUUUUAUCUUUUUUUUGUGCAGGGAGAGGGAACAAUUUUUGAAUUGAUUAUUAUCAAUGUGGUUUGUACAACAUUAGCCUGAUUUAUUUCAUUCAUUAUUAUAUUGUGUUACCAACAGUUUAGCUUUAAGAAACUUAUGAAAAGUGAAUACAUGUCAAAUGACAUGGAGAAAGCUUAAAGAUUGGUAGGGUUCAGUGCUUGUUACCUUUUACUAUAAUGCUUCUUAUUAGUCCUUUGUUAUAAAAGUUUAAUUAAUGCACCGGAUAUAGGGUAGUAGAGAUUCAUAUAAAAUUGUGCUUAAAUAGCCUUAACACUACUAAUAUAUAUCUUAAAAUAAUAAGCUUCACAUUUGAUGUAGUCUUGGUACUCUGAUUAAUUUGAAUUGAUAGUGUAUUAUUGUCGAAAUAACUAGGGUGUCCUACUCUAGUCUCUUUUUCAGCUGUCAUUUUGCUGGAUUUCUGUUUGUUUUGGGGUAUUUUUAACUAUCUCAGAUCUUUUCCAGAGUCUUUUAAUCAAAUCUGAUGGAAAUUUGCAUGAGCUUGCUAAAGUAUUAAGUUUAUGAAUGAGUUGUUUUGACAUACUGAAAGGUAAUCAUAAGUUAGAUUUGAAAUUUGAUUUUUCCUUUGUAAUUAUAGCCUCGGUUAAUCAAUCUCUUUGGUGCUUUAUGGUUAUCUAAAUUACAUAAUAUCUUUUUAGAAUAAAUAAGCUUUUUUGCUUCCAAUUUAUGUCCAGAUAAUGUGUAAAGUUGAUGACUGAUCCUUCCUAGUAAUUCUGGUUCUCAUGAUGGAUAAUUCCUUUAUUGAUGAUCUAAAACUCUAGUUAAUGAGAGGCAUAUAAACUGUGUUGUAAUUCUUUUAGUUACACCUUUUAUAUCUAUGGCAUGUCUAUUAACAUUUAUUCUUAUGUCUUUGACAUUUUCUUACAUCUAGAUUUAGAUUCAUUUAUUUGAAAUAUAUGCAAUUUUGUUUGGCAGAAAGACGUGUUUAGUUAUAUAAAUAAUGUGGAUCUCUUAAAAUUCGGAAACAUACCCACCUUAUUUCCAUGAUUAUUUAUGCUUUGAAUUGAACUAAGUUAUAUUCUUUUUUUUUCUGCAGCUUCUCAACACCUGAUUGUUCAAAAGAUCCUACAAGAACCUGUCAUUGAAGAGAGUAUAUAGAGCUGAUAUUAGCGACUAAAUGUUUAUGAACAAGAGAGAUACAUUCAUAUUUUUUCAGUUAUUUAAAGAUGUCCUCUUCUAUACAUGUCAUGGUUCCUUCUUUUUCUACAAUUGUAAUGUUGUAGAAGUGAGAUUGAUAUAUCUUUGAUAAUAAUGCUUAGUUCUUCGUAAUAAACUAUGAAAUAUUUUAUGAGUAUUGAUUAUAUAGUACAUUUUCAGAUGUAUUUAUAUAUUAAGAGUGUGGGCCUACAUAUAAAACACUAAUGUAGAUUGGGUUAGUUUUUGUAAUUAAUGAUUUUUAAUGAUGGGAAUAACAAUUUACGAAAGGAAUAUUUUGUUGUCGCUAAAACACUUUUAACGACAGAGCCUUUAACGACCGGCAACAACUGGAAAUUUUCCGGUUGUUAUUGACUAAUGACAACGGGAUCAAGGCUUUUAGCGACCGGAUUUCCUCUCGUUGAAGACCUAUUUUCCUGUAGUGCCAAGGUAAAUCUUUCUCAGAAAUCCUUAACUUUGAAUCCAUAUUAUUGAAACUUUGACCAACGUGAUAAUUCAAACGUGUAUUUGACCAUUAUCUCAAUUCCUUUUGUUAGUCCAGUACGUGACUAACUUUGAUAAGCUUCAAUUAAGGCCUUAAUUGGGUGUGACGGAGUCAAUUCUGUGGUGGCAAACUGGCUUGGGUUUCAGAAACCUGUCUAUUCUGGGCGCUCUGCAAUUAGAGGCUUUGUUGAGUAUCCGGAAAAACAUGGGUAUCAGCCUAAGUUCCACGCGUAUUUUGGAGGUGGAGUUCGGUUUGGAUUUCUUCCUAGUGAUGAGAAGAGUUUGUACUGGUUUUGCACAUUCACACCAUUUGUUGUUCAUUGUAGCCAGCUCCUACAUACUGUUUCUUUUGAAAUUUUACUUUUUGAAGGAUAUUUUUGUUGGCUAGAGAGCUUACCUCUCUGAAGGGGGAGCCUUGACGUAAUUGGUAAAGUUAUUGUCAUGUGACCUAGAGGUUACGGAUUUGAGCUGUGGAAACAGCCUCUUGCAGAAAUGUUGGGUAAGACUGCAUACAAUAGAUCCCUGUGGUCCAGACCUUCCCCGAACCCUGUGCAUAGUAGGAGCUUAGUGCACCGAGCUGCCCAGAUAGCUUACAUUUCAUAAACUAGUCAUGUUUAGUUGUUCAUUUUUAAUUGGUAUUUUAUGCAGUUGAUGGAAAUGCAGAACAAGAUCCAAUGAAAUUGAAGCAAUUCGUGUUGAACAAGGCUAGUAAUGUGUCUAAAGAACUCUCCACCAUUAUAGACAGAACUACGCUCGACUGUAUAUCUAUUGCUCAGCUGAAAUUGAGGUUGCCAUGGAAUGUUCUGCUUGGAAUAUUUAGAAAAUAACGUUUGCGUGGUAGGUGAUGCACUUCAUCCCAUGACUCCUGAUCUUGGUCAAGGUGGAUGUUCUGCUUUAGAGGACAGUGUUGUUAUCGCAAAGUGCCUCGGAGAAGCCUUGAUAAAACCGAUAACAGAACAAGAGAUGAUGAAUCUACGAAGAUUAGAAAAGGACUCGAGAAGUAUGCUAAAGAGAGGAGAUGGAGAAGUUUUACAUUUAUCAGUGCUGCUUAUUUAUCUGGUUUCAUACAAGAGAGUGAUAACAAGAUAAUCAGUUUCUUAAGA
Molecule: long non-coding RNA, 17632 nt
Filed under: Solanum tuberosum (potato)
Lineage: Eukaryota; Viridiplantae; Streptophyta; Magnoliopsida; Solanales; Solanaceae
Description: long non-coding RNA (STUB_LNC011077)
Source: RNAcentral